CGCCCAACAGCUAGCCCCCCCCCCCCACCAAAAACAACAAACCCCCAUCAAUAACCCCUAAUACCCUAACCUACUCCUAAACAAAUCAUUUUUCCUCCCUAGUACAGGCGAUAGAAAAGGAAC
RNAcentral lists this ribosomal RNA (123 nucleotides) under Caesio teres (yellow and blueback fusilier). RNAcentral's name for it is "partial 16S rRNA". Lineage: Eukaryota; Metazoa; Chordata; Actinopteri; Lutjaniformes; Lutjanidae. The record is from RNAcentral.